GACGUAGGGCGCGAGCGUUGUCCGGAUUUAUUGGGCGUAAAGAGCUCGUAGGCGGCUUGUCGCGUCAACUGUGAAAACCCGUGGCUCAACCAUGUGGUCUGCAGUCGAUACGGGCAGGCUAGAAUUCGGUAGGGGAGACUGGAAUUCCUGGUGUAGCGGUGAAAUGCGCAGAUAUCAGGAGGAACACCGGUGGCGAAGGCAGCUCGCUGGAACGUAACUGACGCUGAGACGCGAAAGCGUGGGGAGCAAACAGG
Molecule: ribosomal RNA, 254 nt
Filed under: uncultured bacterium
Lineage: Bacteria
Description: partial 16S ribosomal RNA
Rfam family: Bacterial small subunit ribosomal RNA
Source: RNAcentral